GGACAGCAACGACCGAUCCAGGAUCUGAUAAUGAAGCUGAUGACAUGCAAUUAAAAAUCUAAAUGGGAUUCCAACUCUAGUUGAUCAUCAUUCUGUCAUUAGAUAUAUUUAUGUGGGGGUAAAUUUUGGAUUACUCUCUCGACAAUUGAUUAUCUUCAAAGUUUGGCCAGAACCUCUGGGAAAGGGCCACGGCGGAUUUGUUAUGUCACGACAGACCAUGGUUUCAGGUUUCAGGUUUCAGGUUUCAGGUUUCACGUGUUCAGGCCACGGAGUCCAGACAAUGCAAGCUAGGUACAAAAGCAAGGACAGCAUGCAUAGAGUCGGUGAGUGCUUUCAAUACUCGGACCAUUUUGUCAAAGAGGAAACAAAUAUCUUGAAUCAUUUUCUAACUAAAACAUGUGCAGCGCCUGAAUUUAGGAGAGCGCAAGGAGUUGAGACGAUGAAAGGUGAUAAGAAAAACACCCUUUCGGGCACUUUUGGUUGUUUUUUGAACGUCCUUUUUUGGUUUUGCUGAUAAAAUGAAAAACGUGUUUGUUAUGGCAAUUUUUUGAAUACUUUUUUCAUUUGGAUAAAAAUGCAUUGUAUGAUUGUAUCCACUUCCUAAUUUUUGUGGUUAAAAAAUAAUAAUAAUAAUAAUAAAUAAAUAAAUCUCUCUG
RNAcentral lists this long non-coding RNA (656 nucleotides) under Citrus sinensis (sweet orange). RNAcentral's name for it is "long non-coding RNA (CSIN_LNC000024)". Lineage: Eukaryota; Viridiplantae; Streptophyta; Magnoliopsida; Sapindales; Rutaceae. The record is from RNAcentral.